This 200-nucleotide ribosomal RNA is filed under the name uncultured bacterium. RNAcentral's name for it is "partial 16S ribosomal RNA". It matches the Rfam family "Bacterial small subunit ribosomal RNA", at positions 29 to 231 of the family's 1533-position model. The record is from RNAcentral.
AACGAACGCUGGCGGCACGCCUAACACAUGCAAGUCGCGCGAGAAAGUUCUUCGGAAUGAGUACAGCGGCGCACGGGUGAGUAAUGCAUAGGAACGUACCUAUAGAUGGGGAACAACCAAGCGAAAGCUUGGCUAAUACCGCAUAAUCUCGCAAGAGUAAAGAUGGCCUCUACUUGUAAGCUAUCGUCUAUAGAGCGGCC